AGCGAACGCUGGCGGCAGGCUUAACACAUGCAAGUCGAACGGGCACCUUCGGGUGUCAGUGGCAGACGGGUGAGUAACACGUGGGAACGUGCCCUUCGGUUCGGAAUAACUCAGGGAAACUUGAGCUAAUACCGGAUACGCCCUUACGGGGAAAGGUUUACUGCCGAAGGAUCGGCCCGCGUCUGAUUAGCUAGUUGGUGGGGUAAUGGCCUACCAAGGCGACGAUCAGUAGCUGGUCUGAGAGGAUGAUCAGCCACACUGGGACUGAGACACGGCC
Molecule: ribosomal RNA, 277 nt
Filed under: uncultured bacterium
Lineage: Bacteria
Description: partial 16S ribosomal RNA
Rfam family: Bacterial small subunit ribosomal RNA
Source: RNAcentral